GCCCAGAUCGCAUAGUGGUUAUUGCACCAGAUUGCUAAUCUGGACCCUUCGGGGUGCGCAGGUUCGAAUCCUGCUCUGGGCG
RNAcentral lists this transfer RNA (82 nucleotides) under Candidatus Pacearchaeota archaeon. RNAcentral describes it as "tRNA-Ser". It matches the Rfam family "tRNA". Rfam says of the family: Transfer RNA (tRNA) molecules are approximately 80 nucleotides in length. Their secondary structure includes four short double-helical elements and three loops (D, anti-codon, and T loops). Lineage: Archaea; Nanobdellati. The record is from RNAcentral.